CUCGGGCGCCGCGCUCCUCUCCCGCCCUUCGCCCUCCCGCUCUCCUGCCUCUCGGCCUUUUUUCCGGGUUAAUUACGUUUCGCAUUAAAGCAAAACCCAGCCCCGGAUCUUUCUGUUCGUGGAGGUUUUUUGCCACUCAUUAAGUUUCAGGCAGCAGAGCCAGUUGAAGAGUGUCUUCCCCGGACCCGAACUGCCCGGAUUGGAGCCCUGGCUCUGCCACUGCGGAGCUUUGAUCUCUGAGCGCAGACUGUCAUUUCGCAGUGCCUCCUCUUUAGGGAGAGUCAGUGACUUACACAUUUGUAAACUGCUGUCUGAAGGCGAAGGAAAUGCUGCGUAAAUGUGUUUAAUAAUAAAAAUUGGACUGUCACUUCUUAGUGUGAAAAGGGACACUGCCCCAUCCAGCUCCAGGGGAAUCCAACUGGAACGGAUGGCUCCCAGCAUGAGCAAUGAGGUAACAGUGUCGGAUUUCAUGGUAUGGUUCACAUUAAAACCCAUAAAACUCUACUCCCCGUGGGGCCUGCCUGAAUCACUCCAUUGCAGAGCAGCAAAUAUUCUCCGAGCACUACCCUACUGGAUACCUCGGAGGCCGCAAAGGUAGGCCGAGGGCCUUGGGUCUCGUUGGGAGAAUACAGGUAUCACUGGAAGAAGGUUGAGGCAGCCUUCUCCCUUCCGGGAAGGAAGCGCAGUGGCAAUGGCCCAGCGAGUUAAGUGCUGUCGUCAGCUUUUAGAAGAGCAAGACGAUUGUCUCUGUGUGGGACAAGGACUUGGCCCCAGUUAGUCGAAAAUUUCUGCACGGAUUCCCACUCCCUUAGCCCUGGAUUUCCCAGUGCUUCCUCAGAGGACCCCCACCCAACCCCCUCCUCCAGUGAGUACCAUGGAGCUCAUUUGCCAUCUCUUUUUUUGUGUACUUUUUUUUAUUGUGACAAUACUCAUAAAUGUCACCAUUUUAAAUAUCUUAAAGUGUAUAUGCAGUGGCAUUUAGUAGAUUCAUAAUGCGCAACUAUUACCACUGUCUAGUUCCAAACCAUCUUCAUCACACGGAAAGGGGACCCCAGACCUAUUAAGCAGUCACACCCCAUUCCUCUCUUCUCCCCACCCCUGUAACCGCUAACUCGCUUUUCAUCUAAUUUAUGGAUUUGCCUACUUUCGAUAUUUCAUGUUAGUAGAACCACACCAUAUGUUGCUUUUUGUGUCUAGUUUUUACACUUUGUCAUCUCUUUGAUGUAUUUUGUUUUUUUCAUUUCGUUAUUUUUUUUUUGUCUUCCUUGGAAUGCAGCAACACGGACACAUUUUGAAAGUACAGUAAUUCAUUGCCUGACUUUAUGCACUAAUUUUUUUCAGUCCCCCACUGCUAAAUUUGGCUUUAAAAUUAAAAAUAAAUAAAUAAAAUAAAAGAUAAAUUUUUUCAGUGCAAUAAACAGCACUGACGUCUGAAAACGUGACUCUAUUUGAGGGGAAAGGAAUGUCCAAAAGAGGCCCCUUCACACCAGCUGUUUCAGUCCCUUCAUUAUACCAAGGUAAAACAAGGUUCAACAAUUUGCUCAAGGUUUCCCAGCUAGUUAGUGGCAGAGUUGGUUCUAGAAUCCAGGGUUCACUACCCUUAGAAUCUUCUAGUAUUGGUAUAGAAACCUUUCCAUAAAAAUGGGGACUUCUGGCUCAGAACCUAAGAAUCUAAACAGAAAGCCAUAUAUUCUAGCCAUGUAUUUAUUAUGUACUUUCUAUUCAUUUUCAGUGUUAGUGGCUGGGUAACUAGAUGACCUCAUAACCCCCAGUGGUGAGCCAGUGUACCCUUUGGGGAACUUAUUGUUCUCUGUCCUCAUAGAUACCCAUUAUAUAAGGCUACAGCUGGGGCCAGUUAGUUCCAUCAGGGAAAGUGUGAGACAGAGGAGGCCAAGGUCGUUGGUUUGAUCCUGGUUCAGGCCAGUUCAUUUUGCUUAGAGAAAGAUUGCUCUAAGACCACACACUGCACCCUAAUGUUAGCUGGUCAUGUUAUAAAUAGUUGCUAUUUGUUUCAGUAGCAAAGUAUGAAUGGGUAGGCACCAUCCAUUUCUACAAAGAUUUCUCAAACUACCAUUGUUCUGUGCAGUCCUGUUCAUUCAAUAAACGAUUAUCUCAACCUUUUACCAUUUUUCCCUCCCAAAUAUCUUGCAGUUACUUAUUCUCAAGGUACUUACCAAAUGCUAACUGCCUUACAUGUAUUAUCUCAUUUAAGGCUUCCCAGGACACUAGGAGUGAGACACUAUUAUCUACCCCAUCUAAUGGUGAUGAGGUAGCUAAGCCCUACAAACCUGGGUACAAACCUAGACAGCCUGAGGCCCACUUUAUCUGGAAUUCCCAGAGCUACCCUGGUAGAUGCAAUGUUAGGCCUUGGGAAGGAUAUAGCAAGCCUCUUUCCCUUCCCCAUUUCCAGUAUUUAUCAUCAUUUAGAAUCUCCAUUCCAUUUCACUUAGCCAUUCCAUGUCCACGGAUAUGUCCUACAGAAAGUUACCUGGAUAGGCCGGGCGUGGUGGCUCACGCCUGUAAUCCUAGCACUCUGGGAGACCGAGGCAGGCAGAUUGC
Molecule: non-coding RNA, 2559 nt
Organism: Microcebus murinus (gray mouse lemur)
Lineage: Eukaryota; Metazoa; Chordata; Mammalia; Primates; Cheirogaleidae
Source: RefSeq, a predicted model, not a curated record